GCUUGUCUCAAAGAUUAAGCCAUGCAUGUCUAAGUGUAAAUAAGUCUAUACUGUGAAACUGCGAAUGGCUCAUUAAAUCAGUUAUCGUUUAUUUGAUGAUCUCUUACUACUUGGAUAACCGUAGUAAUUCUAGAGCUAAUACAUGCACAAAAUCCCGACUUACGAAGGGAUGUAUUUAUUAGAUACAAACCAACAUCGUGGUGAUUCAUAAUAACUUUGCGAAUCGUAUGCCUCACGGCGACGGAUCAUUCAAGUUUCUGCCCUAUCAACUUUCGAUGGUACGGUAUUGGCCUACCAUGGUGACCACGGGUAACGGGGGAUUAGGGUUCGAUUCCGGAGAGGGCGCCUGAGAAAUGGCGACCACUUCUAAGGAAGGCAGCAGG
This 383-nucleotide ribosomal RNA is filed under the name uncultured Rhizophydiales. RNAcentral's name for it is "partial small subunit ribosomal RNA". It matches the Rfam family "Eukaryotic small subunit ribosomal RNA", at positions 30 to 432 of the family's 1831-position model. Lineage: Eukaryota; Fungi; Chytridiomycota; Chytridiomycetes; Rhizophydiales. The record is from RNAcentral.